GGAUCAUUUGCCAUAGGCUAUGUCAAAUCCUUUUCAAAAACUGAUUGAUCACGAAGUAUGAGUUAGCUGUUCUCCAAUGCAAUCAAAGCAUGGAGGAUCGAGUAGAAGUAGUUUUCAUUUUAAAUUCCUCAAUACCCUUUUUUUCUACAGUAUUCUGUAAUAGAAGGUGGAAGGUCUCUUGGGAGGAGUGUGGAAAUCUGGGGAAGGAGAGGGAAGGGUUUAUGUGGAAGUAGUGUUAUCUGCUAUUGGUUAUUUUGUUGUCUCAUUGAUUACUUGGAAAUUAAGUACUUUUCCAAGACUCUACAGCACACUUGUGAAGGGGCCCUUGUGAUAUCUUUUUGAACAGAAGUGAUAGAAAUGCUUUGAAAUAUUCAUGUGGAAAAAAAAAAAAAUGAAGAGUUUAUCUUCAGGAUUCAUCCUCAUGUGAGAUACUUCUCUUUUUUUAAUGCAGGUUAGAAGGUGAUAGAUCAGAGAUUCUGGAUGAGAGCAUUCCACUCACUAAUGACAAGCUAAAGUCAUCUGCUUUCACCUCUUUCACUGCUGUCACCUCCCUCCUCCCACUGUGGCCCCUCCCACCAAAAGCAGCUGUACCUGUGUGGCUUCUGAGGACCUUUCCACCUCACUGCUGAGCUGUUACUGGACCUUUAGACACUAUGGACACUCUCCAGCAUACAAAACUGGACCCUUAGAAAAGAAGAAAAUUCAGCUUUAGACCAUGACCAGUGGUUCUUCUGUGGCUGCAAAUGUCUGUACUCUACCUCUGAAUAUGUGCCCCUUGUUACUUACAUUGCGUUUAUUAGAACAGUUGCACACCGUGUUUCCUUCCUAGAAGAGAAAGUGCCCGAAGCAAAGAAGAGUCAUGGUGCCUUUUUAAUACCACUUUCCAACUGUUUCGAUAUGCAGUUAUCCCAUCUUUAAAAACAAUUGCUGUAGCAUUAUGCUGGUAUACAUAACGCUGGGCAGGCAAUAAUACACAGGUCUGGGACAUACCUUAACUCUGUAAAGAACAUCAUGAAUAUGCAGUCUGGUUAACAGGCAUGGAAAGGACACGACCUCCUCCAGGAGUGGCACUUUAAGAUCUGCCAAAACUCUAUCAAACCAAAGACUUUUUCCCUAUGAACAAUGUAGGUACCAAGUAUCAAAAUCAUUGAUUUCUGUCUCUUUUAUAAAAGGCUGGGUUUGUUCUUAUGGUUCAUACUUUAUAUAUGUAAGUAGAAGCAACUGUUAUACUUCAGAUCUUUGGUUAGCAUCUGUAAAAGGAAGCUGAAACUUUCCAAUCAUGUUGUGGCCGUAUAGAGGCUGGAACAUUUAUUCUAAGAUUUGAUCACAGUAGUUUACACCAUAAGCUUACAGAACCAGCAAAGCAAAUAUAUAAAGCAUCACAUUUUUAUACUUAAAAUGAUCAGAAGCUUAAAGAAUGUGCUAGUAUUGCAUGCUAAAACUGCCAGCCUCACAAAUCAUCAGGAUACACCACAGAGCAUGAAAUCAGGGUCAGAAUUUAACAAUUCAAUAAACCACAUAUGGCCAAACCUUCUAGCACUCCAAAGCAGGAAUAGGGUUUUAAAAGCUGUUGCGUAACACAAGCUGAGUAAUAUGAAUAAACUUUUUGCAAUGUUGUUAUGGACCUUUGGAUGUGCCAUUUUGUAAGAGUCAUUCUGUUUAACCAGAACUUGAAGUA
Long non-coding RNA from Gallus gallus (chicken), 1678 nucleotides. NCBI's taxonomy places the organism in Eukaryota, Metazoa, Chordata, Aves, Galliformes, Phasianidae. The record is from Ensembl.